Molecule: ribosomal RNA, 253 nt
Filed under: uncultured bacterium
Lineage: Bacteria
Description: partial 16S ribosomal RNA
Rfam family: Bacterial small subunit ribosomal RNA
Source: RNAcentral
UACGUAGGGGGCUAGCGUUGUCCGGAUUUAUUGGGCGUAAAGAGCGUGUAGGCGGCUAGGUAGGUCCGUUGUGAAAACUCGAGGCUCAACCUCGAGACGCCGAUGGAAACCAUCUGGCUAGAGUCCGGAAGAGGAGAGUGGAAUUCCUGGUGUAGCGGUGAAAUGCGCAGAUAUCAGGAAGAACACCCGUGGCUAAGGCGGCUCUCUAGUACGGUACUGACGCUGAGACGCGAAAGCGUGGGGAGCGAACAGG